Long non-coding RNA from Silurus meridionalis, 772 nucleotides. RefSeq lists it as uncharacterized. The record is from RefSeq and is a predicted model, not a curated record. NCBI's taxonomy places the organism in Eukaryota, Metazoa, Chordata, Actinopteri, Siluriformes, Siluridae. The transcript is spliced from 2 exons.
AAAAGAACAACAUUUGGGGUUUGAUUUUACCGGUAGCAUGGUAGCUAGGUGGCGGCUACACAGCUGCAUUGUGGGACUUAUGUCGCACUUGUAUUCAGCCAUAGAAUUUACCGGCUUUAUCUAUUUAGUUUUCAGUGUAAUUUUGGAUUUAUUUUUGUACUUUUUACCACUUAGUCUAUUUCUUGUUGUCCACGUUGUUUUUUUGUCACUAGCAUUCAAAACCUACAGUGGACAGGAACGACAAAACAGUAACAAAUAGUGGACGUGAGAAAACGCCAUCACAUUGUCAAUUUUUGUGAUUAUAUGAUGCAGUUCGGGUAUAUUUUCCCCUAAAAACGAUUAAUGAAAGAUGAAGGCAACAAAAGCUCUGGGACUUUGUUUGUGUUCCUGGUUUGCUGAGUCAUCAUCUGCAACAUGACUAUGAAUUCUGGCUGAUGUCCCUUUUUCCCACCUUGAAACAUUUACAUGAUAGUACCAUUAUUUCAUUCUCACCCCUUUCAACUAACUGGACAAUCACUGCACUAUAAUGUCAGUUUCUGUUAUGGGCCAGUGUAAUGUCUUCUAUGCUUGGUAAGUUACAUGUUGUAUCUAGUUGUGUUGUGUUAAUCUUGCAUGUAUUAGAUCUUGUCUUGAGCGAUCAUAUCGUUGUGCAGUAUGAUUUUUUUUUUAACAAACUUGACAUUCACGAAACUGUUAUACCAUGUUCUGUCCCAGGCCAAUGUGUUCUGGCUUCUAUGUGUGGUCAAGUAAAGUGCUAUUUGUUAAUAUGUUA